UCUAAGGAUGAAUGAAAGUAAAAUUUCAUUCUAAAUAAUAUACAUCGGUAAUGUUGACCGUCCUCAUUUCUCUUCUUAAAGUAGUGUUUCUCUUGCAUGGGGGCCGGUAGCUCAGUUGGUUAGAGCACACCCUUGAUAAGGGUGGGGUCGAAAGUUCGAGUCUUUCUCGGCCCACCAAUAUAAGAUCAUGGGGGAUUAGCUCAGCUGGGAGAGCGCCUGAUUUGCAUUCAGGAGGUCAGCGGUUCGAUCCCGCUAUCCUCCACCAAAAACACUUAGUUAUAAAAACUGUAAAUUAAAAUAAUAAUUAAUAUCAAUAUCUAUAUCCGAACAUUAGUAAUGUUAUUAGCUAAUGUUCAAAAUAAAAAUUUGAUUCAACACAGAAUUUUUUUCUG
Molecule: transfer RNA, 392 nt
Filed under: uncultured proteobacterium EBAC40E09
Lineage: Bacteria; Pseudomonadati; Pseudomonadota
Description: 16S-23S intergenic spacer
Rfam family: tRNA (bases 101-174)
Source: RNAcentral